AAGAGCAUAUGGUGGAUGCCUUGGCGAUAUCUGCUGAAGAAGGACGCGACAAGCUGCGAAAAGCCACGGAGAGGCGCAAAUAGCCUAUGACCCGUGGAUAUCCGAAUGGGGCAACCCGACGGUGGUCAUGCACCGUCAUCCAUACCGACCGGUAU
Molecule: small RNA, 155 nt
Filed under: Dialister micraerophilus DSM 19965
Lineage: Bacteria; Bacillati; Bacillota; Negativicutes; Veillonellales; Veillonellaceae
Rfam family: Bacterial large subunit ribosomal RNA
Source: RNAcentral